Molecule: long non-coding RNA, 267 nt
Organism: Lepidothrix coronata (blue-crowned manakin)
Lineage: Eukaryota; Metazoa; Chordata; Aves; Passeriformes; Pipridae
Exons: 3
Source: RefSeq, a predicted model, not a curated record
CUCUCCUCCUCAUGAAGCAGGAGAAAACAGCUUUGAGUCCUUGCUCUCCUGCUGCUGGUGAUCUCUCCCUCUCGGUGUCCCACCUCGGUAGGAAGAAGUAGAUAUUUUUCCUUCUGUUAUGCUUUCUCUCUGCUCUGUAUUCCCUCUUUCCUGCCAGCAGAAGCACCGCGAUCAGAAUCUAUCUCACGGUCGGAAUGCAUCUGCAUUUUGUUCAUACAAUAUCCAUAUGACAUGAUGAAGAAGAACUCAACCUUCAAAGUCCUCCAG